AGCGCAGGUGGGAAAGUAAGUUAAAUGUGAAAUCUACGGGCUCAACUCGUAAAUUGCGUUUGAUACUAUUUUCUUGAGUGGAGUAGAGGCAGGCGGAAUUCCAGGUGUAGCGGUGGAAUGCGUAGAUAUCUGGAGGAACACCAGUGGCGAAGGCGGCCUGCUGGGCUCUAACUGACACUGAGGCUCGAAAGCGUGGGUAGCAAACA
RNAcentral lists this ribosomal RNA (206 nucleotides) under uncultured bacterium. RNAcentral's name for it is "partial 16S ribosomal RNA". It matches the Rfam family "Bacterial small subunit ribosomal RNA", at positions 568 to 774 of the family's 1533-position model. The record is from RNAcentral.